Molecule: unclassified non-coding RNA, 432 nt
Filed under: soil metagenome
Description: partial contains 5.8S ribosomal RNA, internal transcribed spacer 2, and large subunit ribosomal RNA
Rfam family: 5.8S ribosomal RNA (bases 1-120)
Source: RNAcentral
GAUGAAGAACGUAGCGAAAUGCGAUACGUAAUGUGAAUUGCAGAAUUCAGUGAAUCAUCGAAUCUUUGAACGCAUAUUGCGCUCUCUGGUAUUCCGGAGAGCAUGCUUGUUUGAGUAUCAGUAAAAACCUCAACUUCCAUAUCUUUUUUGAAAUGGGAGUUGGACUUGAGUGAUCCCAACGCUUUUCCUCACCGAAAAGUGGCGGGUUACUUGAAAUGCAGGUGCAGCUGGACUUUUCUCUGAGCUAUAAGCAUAUCUAUUUAGUCUGCCUAAAAAACAGAUUAUUACCUUUGCUGCAGCUAACAUAAAGGAGAUUAGUUCUUGUGCUGACUGAUGCAGGAUUCACAAAGACAGCUUCGGCCGACUUUGUAAACUCGAUCUCAAAUCAAGUAAGACUACCCGCUGAACUUAAGCAUAUCAAUAAGCGGAGGA